GACCUCAAAUCAGGUAAGAGUACCCGCUGAACUUAAGCAUAUCAAUAAGCGGAGGAAAAGAAAAUAACAAUGAUUCCCUUAGUAACGGCGAGUGAAGGGGGAUAAGCUCAAAUUUUAAAUCUGACUAGGUUUUCCCUAUCAGAGUUGUAUUUUGAAGAAGCGUUUUCCGCGUCUCGGUUGGCCCAAGUCCUUUGGGAUAAGGUAUCAUGGAGGGUGAGAAUCCCGUUCGGUUGACCUUAUGACGCUUUACGAUACGCUCUCAAAGAGUCGAGUUGUUUGGGAUUGCAGCUCAAAAUGGGAGGUAAAUUUCUCCUAAGGCUAAAUAUCGGCGAGAGACCGAUAGCGAACAAGUACCGUGAGGGAAAGAUGAAAAGAACUUUGAAAAGAGAGUAAAAUAGUACGUGAAAUUGUUGAAAGGGAAACGAUUGAAG
RNAcentral lists this ribosomal RNA (431 nucleotides) under uncultured Glomus. Its description in RNAcentral is "eukaryotic LSU rRNA". It matches the Rfam family "Eukaryotic large subunit ribosomal RNA", at positions 1 to 428 of the family's 3401-position model. The record is from RNAcentral. Lineage: Eukaryota; Fungi; Glomeromycota; Glomeromycetes; Glomerales; Glomeraceae.